RNAcentral lists this ribosomal RNA (535 nucleotides) under Alternaria tenuissima. RNAcentral describes it as "eukaryotic LSU rRNA". The stretch from base 152 to 305 matches the Rfam family "5.8S ribosomal RNA". Lineage: Eukaryota; Fungi; Ascomycota; Dothideomycetes; Pleosporales; Pleosporaceae. The record is from RNAcentral.
GCGGGCUGGACCUCUCGGGGUUACAGCCUUGCUGAAUUAUUCACCCUUGUCUUUUGCGUACUUCUUGUUUCCUUGGUGGGUUCGCCCACCACUAGGACAAACAUAAACCUUUUGUAAUUGCAAUCAGCGUCAGUAACAAAUUAAUAAUUACAACUUUCAACAACGGAUCUCUUGGUUCUGGCAUCGAUGAAGAACGCAGCGAAAUGCGAUAAGUAGUGUGAAUUGCAGAAUUCAGUGAAUCAUCGAAUCUUUGAACGCACAUUGCGCCCUUUGGUAUUCCAAAGGGCAUGCCUGUUCGAGCGUCAUUUGUACCCUCAAGCUUUGCUUGGUGUUGGGCGUCUUGUCUCUAGCUUUGCUGGAGACUCGCCUUAAAGUAAUUGGCAGCCGGCCUACUGGUUUCGGAGCGCAGCACAAGUCGCACUCUCUAUCAGCAAAGGUCUAGCAUCCAUUAAGCCUUUUUUUCAACUUUUGACCUCGGAUCAGGUAGGGAUACCCGCUGAACUUAAGCAUAUCAAUAAGCCGGGAGGAAAAUUCA